AGAGUUUGAUCAUGGCUCAGGAUGAACGCUAGCGGCAGGCUUAAUACAUGCAAGUCGAGGGGCAGCAUGACUGUAGCAAUACGGUUGAUGGCGACCGGCAAACGGGUGCGGAACACGUACACAACCUUCCUUUAAGUGGGGAAUAGCCCGGGGAAACCCGGAUUAAUACCCCGUAACAUUAUGAAGUGGCAUCACUUUAUAAUUAUAGCUCAGGCGCUUAAUGAUGGGUGUGCGACUGAUUAGGUAGUUGGCGGGGUAACGGCCCACCAAGCCUGCGAUCAGUAACUGGUGUGAGAGCACGACCAGUCACACGGGCACUGAGACACGGGCCCGACUCCUACGGGAGGCAGCAGUAAGGAAUAUUGGUCAAUGGACGCAAGUCUGAACCAGCCAUGCCGCGUGAAGGAUGAAGGUCCUUUGGAUUGUAAACUUCUUUUAUUUGGGACGAAAAAGGAUCUUUUCAGAUCAACUGACGGUACCAGAUGAAUAAGCACCGGCUAACUCCGUGCCAGCAGCCGCGGUAAUACGGAGGGUGCAAGCGUUAUCCGGAUUCACUGGGUUUAAAGGGUGCGUAGGUGGGUCUGUAAGUCCGUGGUGAAAUCUCCAGGCUUAACUUGGAAACUGCCAUGGAUACUAUAAAUCUUGAAUACUGUGGAGGUUAGCGGAAUAUGUCAUGUAGCGGUGAAAUGCUUAGAUAUGACAUAGAACACCAAUUGCGAAGGCAGCUGACUACACAAAUAUUGACACUGAUGCACGAAAGCGUGGGGAUCAAACAGGAUUAGAUACCCUGGUAGUCCACGCCCUAAACGAUGGAUACUCGACAUUUGCGAUACACUGCAAGUGUCUGAGCGAAAGCAUUAAGUAUCCCACCUGGGAAGUACGAUCGCAAGAUUGAAACUCAAAGGAAUUGACGG
RNAcentral lists this ribosomal RNA (914 nucleotides) under uncultured bacterium. RNAcentral's name for it is "bacterial SSU rRNA". It matches the Rfam family "Bacterial small subunit ribosomal RNA", at positions 8 to 916 of the family's 1533-position model. The record is from RNAcentral.